This 253-nucleotide ribosomal RNA is filed under the name uncultured bacterium. Its description in RNAcentral is "partial 16S ribosomal RNA". It matches the Rfam family "Bacterial small subunit ribosomal RNA", at positions 524 to 776 of the family's 1533-position model. The record is from RNAcentral.
UACGAAGGGGGCUAGCGUUGCUCGGAAUCACUGGGCGUAAAGGGUGCGUAGGCGGGUCUUUAAGUCAGGGGUGAAAUCCUGGAGCUCAACUCCAGAACUGCCUUUGAUACUGAAGAUCUUGAGUUCGGGAGAGGUGAGUGGAACUGCGAGUGUAGAGGUGAAAUUCGUAGAUAUUGGGAAGAACACCGGUGGCGAAGGCGGGUCUCUGGGCCGAUACUGACGCUGAGGAGCGAAAGCGUGGGGAGCGAACAGG